Pseudoalteromonas tunicata D2 is the source of this 85-nucleotide non-coding RNA. The record is from Rfam. NCBI's taxonomy places the organism in Bacteria, Pseudomonadati, Pseudomonadota, Gammaproteobacteria, Alteromonadales, Pseudoalteromonadaceae.
GUUCGUAAAGGGCAAACUUAGUGAAAAUUAAGGACGCAAAGCUAUUGGUCUAAGGGUAUUUACCUAUGAUUGCAAAGCUGCCAAC